RNAcentral lists this microRNA precursor (134 nucleotides) under Chlorocebus sabaeus (green monkey). RNAcentral describes it as "miRNA (ENSCSAG00000021865.1)". The record is from RNAcentral. Lineage: Eukaryota; Metazoa; Chordata; Mammalia; Primates; Cercopithecidae.
CAAUAGACCUUUUUUCUCUCACAGUUCUGGAGGCUGGAAGUCCGAGAUCAAGGUGCCGGCAGCUUUGGUUUCUCCUGAGGCCUCUCUCCUUGGCUUCUAGACAGCCGCCUUCUCCCUGUGUCCUCACAUGGUCU